This is a non-coding RNA of Maylandia zebra (zebra mbuna), 118 nucleotides long. The record is from RefSeq and is a predicted model, not a curated record. NCBI's taxonomy places the organism in Eukaryota, Metazoa, Chordata, Actinopteri, Cichliformes, Cichlidae.
GCGGGUGGCCAGUCUAAGAAGCCUCCAUCAUCAAGCUAGCAGAAAUCCUACCUCUCCUUCUGGCUACAGAGUACUUACCAAGCCCAUGAAAUCGAAUGCAGAUCUUCCUAAUGUGAGA